Molecule: unclassified non-coding RNA, 235 nt
Filed under: Hevea brasiliensis (rubber tree)
Lineage: Eukaryota; Viridiplantae; Streptophyta; Magnoliopsida; Malpighiales; Euphorbiaceae
Source: RNAcentral
ACCUCCACCGCCUCCGUAUCCACCACCACCAGCUUCUCCUGAACCAUAGCCUCCUCCACUACCUCCUCCAUGACCACCUCCCCCUCCAUAUCCACUACCAGGUAAACCCCCUGCUCCUCCAUAACCACCACCACUUCCUCCCCCUUCUCCACCUCCAUAACCACCUCCUGGAACCCCUCCUGCACCAUAUCCACCACCACUACCACUUCCACCUCCACCUCCACCACCAUAUGCA